RNAcentral lists this transfer RNA (72 nucleotides) under Helminthocladia australis. RNAcentral's name for it is "tRNA-Thr". It matches the Rfam family "tRNA". Rfam says of the family: Transfer RNA (tRNA) molecules are approximately 80 nucleotides in length. Their secondary structure includes four short double-helical elements and three loops (D, anti-codon, and T loops). Further hydrogen bonds mediate the characteristic L-shaped molecular structure. tRNAs have two regions of fundamental functional importance: the anti-codon, which is responsible for specific mRNA codon recognition, and the 3' end, to which the tRNAs corresponding amino acid is attached (by aminoacyl-tRNA synthetases). tRNAs cope with the degeneracy of the genetic code in two manners: having more than one tRNA (with a specific anti-codon) for a particular amino acid; and 'wobble' base-pairing, i.e. permitting non-standard base-pairing at the 3rd anti-codon position. Lineage: Eukaryota; Rhodophyta; Florideophyceae; Nemaliales; Liagoraceae. The record is from RNAcentral.
GCCCUCAUAGCUCAGUGGUAGAGCAUCUGCUUGGUAAGAAGAAGGUCACGAGUUCAAGUCUCGUUGAGGGCU